UACAGAGGGUGCGAGCGUUAAUCGGAAUUACUGGGCGUAAAGGGCGUGUAGGCGGCUUGAUAAGUGGGAUGUUAAAUCCCCCGGCUCAACCGGGGACCUGCAUCUCAUACUGUUCAGCUCGAGCACAUCAGAGGAGACUGGAAUUCCCGGUGUAGCGGUGAAAUGCGUAGAUAUUGGGAGGAACACCGGUGGCGAAGGCGGCUACCUGGACCGGUACUGACGCUGAGGCGCGAAAGCUGGGGUAGCAAACAGG
This 253-nucleotide ribosomal RNA is filed under the name uncultured bacterium. RNAcentral's name for it is "partial 16S ribosomal RNA". It matches the Rfam family "Bacterial small subunit ribosomal RNA", at positions 524 to 776 of the family's 1533-position model. The record is from RNAcentral.